This is a long non-coding RNA of Oncorhynchus nerka (sockeye salmon), 854 nucleotides long. RefSeq lists it as uncharacterized. The record is from RefSeq and is a predicted model, not a curated record. The transcript is spliced from 3 exons. Lineage: Eukaryota; Metazoa; Chordata; Actinopteri; Salmoniformes; Salmonidae.
GCUGCGUGGAAACUGGAAGUGAGGUCUAUAUAAUUCCACAUCACGUCCAGUGCGCCACUUAGUAUGGGGAGCGAGCGGAACACAGGCGCAAUGUGUGGAUUGGAUCGAUCGCGUAGGGAUGCCUUGAGAGACUUGGCAGAAUUUGGUGUAAAGCUCAAAGGACCACCUUGCAGACAGAGAUAAGACGGCCUGCAGGUUCAUCCGUCAAAGCGGGAGCUCCCUCUGUCACGACCAUAGAUAUGGUCAUUGCUCACGACCAACAUCCUGUCAGUGAAGACCAGCGACGAACAUUGAGAUCCAGAGGAAGUUGUCAUUAACUCUCGAAGUUCCAGAAUGGAGUGAAAAUGGCAGCCAUAUUGGUCAGGGAGAAAUCCAACCCAGUCUAAUUGGAAUGAAUGGCAGAAGAGGCAUAAUCCUGAUUUUGCUUAUGCAGGAAAAUAAAACAAAGACGUGAUUUAUCAAAAAUGGUAUAAUAUAGUUAUUGUCAACCUCAAAUAUUGUCAUAUAAUCAUAAAUACAGUUUACAAGAUUUAUAUAGGUUAUUGUUAGAAAUAGCUUCUAAAUAUAUGUAAACAGACCAUACAUUUAAUAUUUUUGGAAAGCUGAGUCUGCUAUUAUAUGAUCAAAUAUCAGUAGCCUACUUGUUGCACUUACAACUUGUCAAAGUCCUAUCAUCUGCAUUGUUUGAAUGGAAUGUUGUCAGUUCAUUUGAAAAAUCAAUGGAAUCAUUCAUCUAAAACUGGCUAGCUAGCUAACAAACAUACAGUGCAGAUAAAUUCUUCAAAUUCAUUUUUACACAAGAUAUUUUACACUAUCUUAUCACAGCACUGGCAAACCAUGGUUUAACAACUCUC